RNAcentral lists this ribosomal RNA (253 nucleotides) under uncultured bacterium. RNAcentral describes it as "partial 16S ribosomal RNA". It matches the Rfam family "Bacterial small subunit ribosomal RNA", at positions 524 to 776 of the family's 1533-position model. The record is from RNAcentral.
UACGUAGGGGGCAAGCGUUGUCCGGAUUUAUUGGGCGUAAAGCGCACGUAGGCGGCUUUGCAAGUCCCAUGUGAAAUCCCACGGCUCAACCGUGGAAGUGCAUGGGAAACUGCAGAGCUUGAGUACUUAAGAGGAUCGCGGAAUUCCCGGUGUAGAGGUGAAAUUCGUAGAUAUCGAGAGGAACACCUGCGGCGAAGGCGGGUUGCUGGGCUGACACUGACGCUGAACUGCGAAAGCUAGGGGAGCGAACGGG